GGGGGAUAACACCUGGAAACAGAUGCUAAUACCGCAUAACAACUUGGACCGCAUGGUCCGAGCUUGAAAGAUGGCUUCGGCUAUCACUUUUGGAUGGUCCCGCGGCGUAUUAGCUAGAUGGUGGGGUAACGGCUCACCAUGGCAAUGAUACGUAGCCGACCUGAGAGGGUAAUCGGCCACAUUGGGACUGAGACACGGCCCAAACUCCUACGGGAGGCAGCAGUAGGGAAUCUUCCACAAUGGACGAAAGUCUGAUGGAGCAACGCCGCGUGAGUGAAGAAGGGUUUCGGCUCGUAAAACUCUGUUGUUAAAGAAGAACAUAUCUGAGAGUAACUGUUCAGGUAUUGACGGUAUUUAACCAGAAAGCCACGGCUAACUACGUGCCAGCAGCCGCGGUAAUACGUAGGUGGCAAGCGUUGUCCGGAUUUAUUGGGCGUAAAGCGAGCGCAGGCGGUUUUUUAAGUCUGAUGUGAAAGCCUUCGGCUCAACCGAAGAAGUGCAUCGGAAACUGGGAAACUUGAGUGCAGAAGAGGACAGUGGAACUCCAUGUGUAGCGGUGAAAUGCGUAGAUAUAUGGAAGAACACCAGUGGCGAAGGCGGCUGUCUGGUCUGUAACUGACGCUGAGGCUCGAAAGUAUGGGUAGCAAACAGGAUUAGAUACCCUGGUAGUCCAUACCGUAAACGAUGAAUGCUAAGUGUUGGAGGGUUUCCGCCCUUCAGUGCUGCAGCUAACGCAUUAAGCAUUCCGCCUGGGGAGUACGGCCGCAAGGCUGAAACUCAAAGGAAUUGACGGGGGCCCGCACAAGCGGUGGAGCAUGUGGUUUAAUUCGAAGCUACGCGAAGAACCUUACCAGGUCUUGACAUACUAUGCAAAUCUAAGAGAUUAGACGUUCCCUUCGGGGACAUGGAUACAGGUGGUGCAUGGUUGUCGUCAGCUCGUGUCGUGAGAUGUUGGGUUAAGUCCCGCAACGAGCGCAACCCUUAUUAUCAGUUGCCAGCAUUAAGUUGGGCACUCUGGUGAGACUGCCGGUGACAAACCGGAGGAAGGUGGGGAUGACGUCAAAUCAUCAUGCCCCUUAUGACCUGGGCUACACACGUGCUACAAUGGAUGGUACAACGAGUUGCGAACUCGCGAGAGUAAGCUAAUCUCUUAAAGCCAUUCUCAGUUCGGAUUGUAGGCUGCAACUCGCCUACAUGAAGUCGGAAUCGCUAGUAAUCGCGGAUCAGCAUGCCGCGGUGAAUACGUUCCCGGGCCUUGUACACACCGCCCGUCACACCAUGAGAGUU
RNAcentral lists this ribosomal RNA (1287 nucleotides) under Limosilactobacillus fermentum. RNAcentral describes it as "bacterial SSU rRNA". It matches the Rfam family "Bacterial small subunit ribosomal RNA", at positions 138 to 1412 of the family's 1533-position model. Lineage: Bacteria; Bacillati; Bacillota; Bacilli; Lactobacillales; Lactobacillaceae. The record is from RNAcentral.